This 152-nucleotide ribosomal RNA is filed under the name Glossina austeni. Its description in RNAcentral is "5.8S ribosomal RNA". It matches the Rfam family "Bacterial large subunit ribosomal RNA", at positions 13 to 175 of the family's 2925-position model. The record is from RNAcentral. Lineage: Eukaryota; Metazoa; Arthropoda; Insecta; Diptera; Glossinidae.
AAGAGCACUUGAUGGAUGCCUUGGCGUUAAGAGGCGAUGAAGGACGUGGCAGGCUGCGAUAAGCUGUGGGGAAUUGUCAACAAAUUUUGAUCCGCAGAUUUCCGAAUGGGGAAACCCAGCUAGCUUAGCUAGUUAUUACAUACUAAGUAUGU